Molecule: long non-coding RNA, 245 nt
Organism: Octopus sinensis (East Asian common octopus)
Lineage: Eukaryota; Metazoa; Mollusca; Cephalopoda; Octopoda; Octopodidae
Exons: 3
Source: RefSeq, a predicted model, not a curated record
AAAUUAUAGAGCAAAUCGACAGACUACGCUGAUGACCUUGCAGACAUUUACAUACGUAAAUAUUGACAAGUGAAACUAUGGUACAUAGGUAAUCGUUUUUUAUUUCGUAUAUUUUCAUUUGUCUUGCCCUUUUUACAUUUUGGCAUUUUGCUGAAAUUUUUCUUGAGAACACACUCUUCGUGGUAAUGGCGAUUUGACGUCUGUAUUUAGCUUAUUAGGUGUCCACUGUGGUGGUCAUUCCUCUU